CGGCGGCAUGCCUACACUGCAAGUCGAACGGCAGCGCGGACUUCGGUCUGGCGGCGAGUGGCGAACGGGUGAGUAAUACAUCGGAACGUGCCCUGUUGUGGGGGAUAACUAGUCGAAAGAUUAGCUAAUACCGCAUACGACCUGAGGGUGAAAGCGGGGGACCGUAAGGCCUCGCGCAUAGGAGCGGCCGAUGUCUGAUUAGCUAGUUGGUGAGGUAAAGGCUCACCAAGGCGACGAUCAGUAGCUGGUCUGAGAGGACGAUCAGCCACACUGGGACUGAGACACGGCCCAGACUCCUACGGGAGGCAGCAGUGGGGAAUUUUGGACAAUGGGGGCAACCCUGAUCCAGCAAUGCCGCGUGUGUGAAGAAGGCCUUCGGGUUGUAAAGCACUUUUGUCCGGAAAGAAAUCCUUUGGGCUAAUACCCCGGAGGGAUGACGGUACCGGAAGAAUAAGCACCGGCUAACUACGUGCCAGCAGCCGCGGUAAUACGUAGGGUGCGAGCGUUAAUCGGAAUUACUGGGCGUAAAGCGUGCGCAGGCGGUUUUGUAAGACAGGCGUGAAAUCCCCGGGCUCAACCUGGGAAUGGCGCUUGUGACUGCAAGGCUAGAGUGCGUCAGAGGGGGGUAGAAUUCCACGUGUAGCAGUGAAAUGCGUAGAGAUGUGGAGGAAUACCGAUGGCGAAGGCAGCCCCCUGGGACGUGACUGACGCUCAUGCACGAAAGCGUGGGGAGCAAACAGGAUUAGAUACCCUGGUAGUCCACGCCCUAAACGAUGUCAACUAGUUGUUGGGGAUUCAUUUCUUCAGUAACGAAGCUAACGCGUGAAGUUGACCGCCUGGGGAGUACGGUCGCAAGAUUAAAACUCAAAGGAAUUGACGGGGACCCGCACAAGCGGUGGAUGAUGUGGAUUAAUUCGAUGCAACGCGAAAAACCUUACCUACCCUUGACAUGCCACUAACGAAGCAGAGAUGCAUCAGGUGCCCGAAAGGGAAAGUGGAC
Molecule: ribosomal RNA, 1000 nt
Filed under: Cupriavidus malaysiensis
Lineage: Bacteria; Pseudomonadati; Pseudomonadota; Betaproteobacteria; Burkholderiales; Burkholderiaceae
Description: bacterial SSU rRNA
Rfam family: Bacterial small subunit ribosomal RNA
Source: RNAcentral